CGCGUGGUCCGGCGUUGAUGGGUUACCUGUAUCUAUGUUAUAGAUCUCUUCCUGCUCGCAGGUCGAGAACAAUUUUAUGAAUUUCAAAAAAAAAAACCAAAAAAAAUCAUAAAAUUCAAAAAUACCAAAAACAUUAAUUAUAUUCCCAUCAACGCCCACUUGACUGC
This 167-nucleotide small RNA is filed under the name Caenorhabditis briggsae. Its description in RNAcentral is "Nematode sRNA ceN72-3_ceN74-2". It matches the Rfam family "Nematode sRNA ceN72-3_ceN74-2". The record is from Rfam by way of RNAcentral. Lineage: Eukaryota; Metazoa; Nematoda; Chromadorea; Rhabditida; Rhabditidae.